GAACUGGUGGUUCAGUGGUUAAAGCUUUGGGCUACUGAUCAGAAGGUUGAGGGUUCAAAUGCUGUCACUGCCAGUCUU
This is a non-coding RNA of Pangasianodon gigas (Mekong giant catfish), 78 nucleotides long. NCBI's taxonomy places the organism in Eukaryota, Metazoa, Chordata, Actinopteri, Siluriformes, Pangasiidae. The record is from the annotation of a GenBank genome assembly.